Molecule: ribosomal RNA, 690 nt
Filed under: Ironus sp. SA-50571
Lineage: Eukaryota; Metazoa; Nematoda; Enoplea; Enoplida; Ironidae
Description: partial large subunit ribosomal RNA
Rfam family: Eukaryotic large subunit ribosomal RNA
Source: RNAcentral
CGUGAACCGUUUAGAAGGAAACGGAAGGAGCUGCAAUGUCGCCAGCAGGAUUCAGCUUGCAUAGCGGGGAGCGCUUGCGCUUUCUGCUUGUAAGUGCAUUUCCUGCCGGUGAGCGCUUCGACCGACUCUGUUCCCAGUCAGGCUUGUCUCUUGCGGCCAUGAUUUCGGUCAUGGAUUCCAUUGAUGAAGCUGGACAGGGUGAACGGAGUCGUGGAUCUACCGCAUAAGAUUGUGUCAUGGGUUUGCGUGUUGGGCUGGAAGAAUGAAGCUGCUUGAUGUGCUUGCACGUCUUGCUAACGCUAGCCAGUCAGCGUGAAUUGCAUGAAUUUAUGCAGAAGGUCAGAGGCGUAUGCGUCAGCCACCCUUCCGACCCGUCUUGAAACACGGACCAAGGAGUCUAACAUGUGCGCAAGUCAUUGACUGGCAAAGUCAAAGGCGAAAUGAAAGUAAAAGCCCGCGUUGGUGGGCUAAGGUGAGAUCCCAUUUAUGGGCGCAUCACCGCCUCGUCUCAUCUGCCGUUUGUCAGAGGGGCGAAGGAAGAGCGCACACGUUGGGACCCGAAAGAUGGUGAACUAUGCCUGAGCAGGAUGAAGUCAGAGGAAACUCUGAUGGAGGUCCGUAGCGGUUCUGACGUGCAAAUCGAUCGUCAGACUUGGGUAUAGGGGCGAAAGACUAAUCGAACCAUCUAGU